Oncorhynchus gorbuscha (pink salmon) is the source of this 6837-nucleotide RNA transcript. It is a transcript of the gene named zinc finger CCCH domain-containing protein 13-like, with no coding region annotated. NCBI's taxonomy places the organism in Eukaryota, Metazoa, Chordata, Actinopteri, Salmoniformes, Salmonidae. The transcript is spliced from 19 exons. The record is from RefSeq and is a predicted model, not a curated record.
CCCAAUCAUUACACACGCACCCUUUGCCAACAUGAAGGCGGAUAGGGGAGCCCCUGCCAUUGAAAUACAAGAAUACAACUUGUGAUUUCAAGAGGUAGCGAAUCCCAUUGCCUACGAAAAUAGAUGCGACACCGAAUUAAUAUUUUGGCCCUGCAGAAUGUCCAAGAUAAGGCGGAGGGUAACAGUGGAGAAUUCUAAAACCAUAUCUGACAACAGCAGUAGCCAGACCACCACCACCACCCCGUCUCGCCGGCCCAGCGUGUUUGAAAGACUUGGCCCCAGCACUGGUAGUAAUGCUGUCGAGACUAAUUGUAGAAAUUGGUUGAAGACUGGGAAUUGCAGUUACGGCAAUACUUGUCGCUACACACAUGGAACUCAGCCACGAGGCAAAGGAUUUAGUGGAUCUUUUAGCAGGUCAGCGGAGAGACCAACUGGCGAUCUGCGAGAGAGGAUGAAGAAUAAGAGGCAGGAUGUUGAAUCAGAUGCUACAAAGAGAGACCCAGAGGAGCCUACGUCCCCACAGCCAGAGUGACGAGACUCGUCCCGAGGCCGCCACAGGGAGAAGGAAGAUAUAAAAAUCACUAAAGAGAGAAGCCCUGCCAGCGAAGAAGAGACCACCGAGUGGGAAGCCAACCGCGAAGACUCGGAUAACGGCGACUACGACUACGAAUUAUCCCUCGAGAUGAAGAGACAGAAGAUUCAGCGUGAGCUCAUGAAGUUGGAGCAGGAGAAUAUGGAGAAAAGAGAGGAGAUUGUUAUCAAGAAAGAGGAGCCGACCACCAAAACUAGGACCACUAUCAUAUCCAAGACAUCCCCGGAGCGUUCCAGCUCGAAAGGUUCCCCUCCUCCAGGAAGUCCAGUGGAUCUCCCAAACACACUAAAGGACCUAAAGCUUCCGGUUCUAGGAAGAAGGAGAAGAAGACCUCUGUGUCGUCCUCUGCAUCCGCCACGGCCAGAUCUUCCAAGGGGGGCCACGGGAAGAAGAAAGGUCCCCGCACCCCCAGCCCCCCUCCUCCGGUGCUUCCUCUGGUGAACCCUGUCGUGGCAGCCGGGGGAAGAAACACAAGGGAAACACAAGAACAAGGAGAAGUGUGAGGAGAAGCCGCCCAAGGAGGGAAAGGAGAGAGGAAGAGAUGUGGAGAAACACAAGGAGAAGAAGGAGAAACGCAGAGACCGUUCAGACAGCUCCCACAAGGCCAAGCGGUCAGUGAUGUCUGAGGAACGUUCCGGCAGCGUGUCCUCUCCUUCCAGAGACCGAGAGGCGUCCCCGUCAGCCAGGAAGAACAAGUCCAACUCCCCAAAAGUAGCCUCCCAGAAGACCCUUGCGCCUGCCUCCCCACCUCACAGGUCUCCCCCUCCCCGCCACAAGCGCACCCCCACCCCGCCCCGCCAUCACUCCCCCUCCUCCCACUCUGGCUCCUCAGCCCAGAGACACUCUCCAUCCCCUCGCCGGCGCCGCUCGGCAUCCCCCUCCUACAACCGCGAGCCCCCAGCCGCCUCCUCACCUCCUGGCCAGAGGUGUUCCUCCCGCUCCCCUGCAGCCUCCCGGGACACCUCCUCUCCUCAGAGGAGGACUAGCCCCGGAGGACGAAACCACUCUCGGGGCGUGAGAGAGGACGAGAGACCUGUGUUUCUGUCUCAUCCAUGCAGAGAGCCGCGAGAGAAAGACGGUACCCGUGACGACAGGGACUACGAGGUGGCAGAGACGAGCUCUUCUCGUGAUGCCGCCCGUGAGGACCGGGAAACAAAAGAGGGGCGAGAGCGCCGGGGUGAAGGGCGCAGCGACAGACGAGGAGACUCCACCAGUACCACCAGGGAUAGAGACCGGGACACCAAGGACUCGACCCGGGAAUCCAGAACCACAGAGACCACGUCAACACGCUCCGGACGAGACCCUCUGGAGUACAGGGACCGAGAACGGGAGCGGGAGCGAGAAAAGGAGAAAGAGAGGGAGCGGGAGAGAGGAGAGAGGGAGAAGACGGACAGGAAGGAGGAGGCUGUCCCGGAGGAGGGGAGGGGCUAUGGGAGGGGCCACGGGCGAGAGGAAGGAGGGAGGACUGAAGGGAGGGGGGAGACGAGGACAGAGAGUAGAGCUGAGAGACCUGGCAGGGGUAGGGGCCGCGAGGCUGACGCAUCUGACAAAGGCUCCACCCGGAAUGCCCGAGGCUCCCAACUGGAGAGUGGUGGUCAUGACGGCUGGGAGUCACGUAGCGGCGGAGGCUUCCGUGAGAAGAGUGCGGAGAGGAGCACCGACCGUGGGGCGGAGAGAGGAGGAGCGGAGCGUGACCGUUAUGACGGAGACAGGAGAGGAGGGGAGCAGGCGACUGGGAGAGACUCAUCCUACGACCGUAGAGGUGGUCACACCGACCGUGGUGACCGCAGAGAGAACAGGGAGAGAGACCAAAGAGCUUCCUCUCCUGGUCGGCACCCAGCCAGAGGAGAAGAGCCAGACAGGGAGGAGACCAGAGGGAGGGAUGAACGCAGAGGAGAGGAAAAGGGAGGGGACAGGCGAGAGGACAGGGCCCGAGAGAGGGAGCGAGAGAGGGAACGGGAAAGAGAGAAGGAGAGAGAAAGAGAGAAGGAGAAGGAGAGGGAGGCAGAGCGGGAGAGGGUUCGGGAGAGGGAGAGAGAACGAGAGCGAGAGAGGGAAAAGGAAAGGGAGAGGGAAAAGGAGAAAGAGAGGGAAAAGGAGCGAGAGAGGGAACGGGAGAGGGAAGAGAGGGAGCGGGAGAGGGAGGAGCGAGAUAGGGAGAGGAAGGAGAGAGAGCGGGAGAGGGAACGAGAGCGGGAGAGGGAGCGAGAGCAAAGAGAGAGGGAGAGGCAGCGGGAAUGGGAGGAGCGUGAGAAAGGAAGGGAUGAGCGACGGGAACGGACUAGGGAUGAACCAAGGGAUGACCGCUCUGUCCGAGACUCGCAUGAAGACCGCAAGACCAGCCGGAAGAGGCACAGGGUAGAGACCACACCCAGCCCGACUCGCCCCUCUCCCAAGCGAGCAAGGGACGCCACCCCAGGAGACGGCGAGGAAUACAACAGCCCUGAGGAGAAAAGUGUUGAGAAACACCGGCUGUUGAGUCAGGUGGUACUCCCGCCCCAGGACCCCCUCCUGCGUUCCCCCCAGCACCUCUGUAGCGGAGGACGCCAAGCCCAGCCGGUGGAAGGACGAGGAGCGCCGUGGAGGCGGGGACAAGAGGGAGGGGAGGAGCCGCCGGAACGAGGAGGCCGACGCCCGCGGAGACAGAGGAGGAGCAGGCAGAGGAGGGGAGAGACGGGGGGAGCACCCCUCAGAUAGCAGUACCCCUGUCUCGGCCUCCGGCUCGGACUCUAGGAGGGGUAAAGAGAGGGACGGUCGGGAGCCCACCCCUCCCCCGCCUCCCGUGGCCCUGGUCACUGAGGACAGAGAUGCUCCGGUCCUGUCAGGUCAUGAGGAGGGCAAGAAGAAGACUAAGUCCCAGAAGAAAGGCCUGAAGAAGGGGAGGAAGGAGGAGGCUGUGGCAGGAGGUGUUUCAGGAGCUCCAGAGAGGUUCACCAACCCAGAGCCCCCCUCCUCCAUGGCCCUCUUGGACGCCCCCCCGCCCCCUCUCCUUUCCCCCCGCAAAGCGCCUAAGAAGAAGGCGCUGGACAAGAAGAGGAAACGAUCCCGUGGCGCUGAGUCGGACGCGUCUGAGGAGGAUCCAGGCUCCUCCCAUCUUCCCCCCGGCAAGAGGAACAAGAGGGGUCCCCGGACGCCCCCGCCCGCGCCAAAGGAGGCUCUGCUAUCCCAGAGGGCCAUGCCACAUUCAGUUGCAGAGCCCUUGCCACAGCCCGUCAAAAUGGACGCCAACUUCAGCGACUGGUCUGACGAGGAUGUGCUGGAGCGCGGUGGUGGAUCGGCGCCCGUUAAGGCACCCCCCACAGUCCCCACUGAGAGGACUCCGACUGAAGCUCUUCCCAGGAGAGGAGGUCCGAGGGGGGGCAAGGAGAGGUUGGAGAGGCCUGUUCCCCUGCCCAUCGCCCCUCUGCUGUCCCAGGACCCUCCCAUGUUACUCCAGACCCUGCCUCCCCAGCCCCUCAUGUCCCAGCCCCUGCUGAGGAAGCCUCCUCCGGAGCAGAAGAGGAGCAGCAGUAUGGGAAGCAACCAGAGCAGGGCCUCAUCCAGACGUCUCCGUUCUCCCUCCAACGAGUCAGCCCACAGAGAGGACCCUCAGCAGGGCCAAGGACCAGGCCGACCCAGGAGAGGACACCAGCUCCAGGGGGCCAACUCCCGAGACCGGGAACGAGAAAGGGAGCGAGAAAGGGAACGAGAAAGGGAGCGAGACAGGGAAAGAGAGAGGGAGCGUGGUGAGAGAGAGAGGGGACCUGUGCUCACAGAGCCUCCAGUGGUGAGGGGAGAGGAGCGGAAGUCACGCAUCGACCAGCUGAGGAGAGGAGAGCCCAGUCGCAGCACCUCCUCAGACCGGCAGGACUCUCGCAGCCACAGCUCCAGACGUAGCUCUCCUGAGUCAGAGCGGCAGGUGCAGUCGCGGGCCGGGUCCUACGACGGCCGAGAGCGUGAGAGGGAGAGAGAGAGGGAGCGGGAACAGUUUGAGAGGGAGCGUGAGCGCAAGGACCUCCGACAGCAACAGGGGCCUCCGGGGCCACUACCUCCUCUCCAGCAGCAGGGGCAGCAGAGAGACUGGGAGCCCGAGGGGCCACGGGAGUGGGGCGGGAGGGGCCGUGAACCCCUCCUCAUGCGUGGAGGCAACAGAGAGCAAAUGAGAGAGCGUGAUCUCCGUGACAUGCGGGGUGAGAGAGAGCGGCUUCUGCCCGAGGGUCUCCUGCAGCAGCACGAACGAGAGCGGGAAAGGGAGCGUGGAGGCAACAGGGGCAUUGGCCGCGGUGGCGACCAUGGCAACGACCGGGAGCGGGAGAGGAUGCUGCUGAUGGACCUGCCGCCACAUGGGGACCCCAAGAACAGGAUGGACAUGAGGGGAGACAGACCAGAUAUGAGGGGGGACAGACCAGAUAUGAGGGGGGACAGACCAGAUAUGAGGGGAGACAGACCAGAUAUGAGGGGAGACAGACCAGAUUUAAGAGGGGACAUGCGAGGAGAUAUGAGACCUGAUAUGAGGGGAGACAUUCGAGGGGAUAUGAGAGGAGACAUUCGAGGAGAUAUGAGACCUGAUAUGAGGGGAGACAUGAGACCUGAUAUGAGGGGAGACAUUCGAGGGGACAUGAGACCUGAUAUGAGGGGAGACAUGAGACCUGAUAUGAGGGGAGACAUUCGAGGGGACAUGAGACCUGAUAUGAGGGGAGACAUGAGACCUGAUAUUAGGGGAGAUAUUCGAGGGGAUAUGAGACCCGAUAUGAGGGGAGACAUUCGAGGGGACAUGAGACUUGAUAUUAGGGGAGACAUGAGACCUGAUAUUAGGGGAGACAUUCGAGGGGACAUGAGACCUGAUAUUAGGGGAGACAUUCGAGGGGACAUGAGACCUGAUAUUAGGGGAGACAUGAGACCUGAUAUUAGGGGAGACAUUCGAGGGGACAUGAGACCUGAUAUUAGGGGAGACAUGAGAGGGGGGCCAGAUAUAAGACCGGACAUAAGGCCAGAUCACAUGAGACCAGAUAUCAGGGGGCCGGACAGGGCUGAGUUCUCUCUCUUGCUCCCCCACGAAGCCUUGGGACACGGCGGCAUGGACCAGGACAAAGCAGGCAACAGCCAUCACCCUGUGGGAGGACAGAUACAGGAAGCAGAGAAACAGGACAGCGUUGACGACGAAGAUGACGCGAAGGCGGAUGACGCUGUGUCGGUGGUGUCUGGCGGGGAGGAGUACGAGCCAAUCAGUGAUGACGAGUUAGAUGAGAUCUUGGCGGACAGCGCCCAGAAGAGAGAGGAUGGGCAGGAAGAAGAGAAGACGCCAGGUACAAUAUUGAGAACAGGCUCUCUGUCCAUUCCUCCAGAUGCUGACAAGCUGUUUGAGCACGACCUGGGUGCUCUGAACAAGGCAGCUCUGAACAGGAAGAUAGAGAGGGCAGGUCUGCUGAGGAACCUGGGCCCCUGCUGUAAGGCCCUCUGUGCCCGCAGGGACAUGGCCAUCAGACGGCAGCUCCUCAAGAACGAAAAGGGCCUGGCCAAGCAGAUGUAUCCCAGUGUUCCUGUGGUGGACAGUGAGCUCUUCCAACUCAGCAUGCGUCUCUUCAAGAAGACUGUAGCCGCCGCCAGAAGCAACCAGCCCCCGUUGGGGCCACCAGCAGGCCCAGAGAAGGCCGACAAAGGGCCACCGGGGCUGGUACCGGCAGCUUCACCGGUAGCCAAGCCCAGUACACCACAGCCCCCCGAGAUGUGUGUCUCCUGAGAGCGUGUGGGGAUUAUGGGUAAAAACAAACGCUGCAUGAUGAAACUGACCUGUGAUCAGAAAUUGAAUCAGCUCUGACUACUAAGCCUGCUCUGAGUCCCUGCCCCCUACUCUAAACCCCACCCCCUAAUGCUAAAACCCGCCCCCCUGCUAUAGCUUUUUUAAUCACAAGGAAAAAUCUAACAAAACGCUGAAACUCUUGUCAGUCAGCAGUGCUGUCAUUAUGGAAGACUGAUCUGAUCCGCAAGUACUGUACUGCUUCUACCAUAGAGACUAUUGGAGAUACUAGCCUAUGGAGGGAUUGAUAGAGGCCUUGUACAAUGUACUGUACCUUGAACUAGAAAUGACAAUGCUACAGGAAAGACGUGCAUUUUCCCGAAUAACAGUUGUUGUUUUUGUGCGAUUGGAUAUUUGUUGUCGGAGGGUGAUAAGUCUCCCUUUCGUAAUGGCGUUGAUUUAUGUUUUUUGUUUCUUUUGUUGUGCAUUGGUUUUUAAGACUGCAUUAAAGUGGUUAGUUGUUCAUUUG